UGCGCGCGGACCAAGAUCGAGUUGCCAAGUCACGAAAAACUCCUACGAAAACCCUAAACAAUUAGAUCUGAAACGAAACAGAAAAUUAAAAGAUUAGAUUUUUGAAUUUUCAAAUCUGAAAUAAAAUCCCCAAAUCAGCAAAGAAUCAAAUUGAGAAUAGAAAUAAGUGUUAGGGUUCUUGAAACCCUCAAGGAGAUUGUGAUUCUGCCCAAUUGAACACCAAGAUAGUUUUCCCCAAAUUUCGAC
Molecule: long non-coding RNA, 246 nt
Filed under: Gossypium barbadense (sea-island cotton)
Lineage: Eukaryota; Viridiplantae; Streptophyta; Magnoliopsida; Malvales; Malvaceae
Description: long non-coding RNA (GBAR_LNC013533)
Source: RNAcentral